This 212-nucleotide non-coding RNA is filed under the name Fragilariopsis kerguelensis. The record is from RNAcentral. Lineage: Eukaryota; Bacillariophyta; Bacillariophyceae; Bacillariales; Bacillariaceae.
AAUGACACAUACACAGAUCGACAUUCAUCAGCACAGCAAGAGAGAGAGAAAGGAGGAGGAGAAGCAAGUCGUCAGCCUUUCAUCUCAGUUCUCUUUCUAUUUCCUUUUUCAUUCUAUUAUCGAAUCGUGUUACGGUACCUGUCACAAACAAAGAAGGAAGAGACAAAUACAUACAAAAUAAACGAAGAAGGAUCAAUCAAAUCAAAUUGCUU